UCUGGGGAUACUGCCAGACUCGAGGUCGAGAGAGGUCGGAGGUACUUCUGGGGUAGCGGUGAAAUGCUAUAAUCCUAGGGGGACCACCAGGGUUAAAUCCUGUAAUCCUGGGAGGACCACCUGUGGCGAAGGCGCCUACCUAGAACGGGUCCGACGGUGAGGGACGAAACCUAGGGGAGCGAACGGGAUUAGAUACCCCGGUAGUCCUAGGCGUAAACGAUGCCCGCUUGGUGUUACGGGCCUUUUGGGGGCCUGUAGUGCCGGAGCGUAGGUGUUAAGCGGGCCACCUGGGGAGUACGGUCGCAAGGCUGAAACUUAAGGGAAUUGGCGGGGGAGCACACAAGAGGUGAAGACUGCGGUUUAAUUGGAUUCAACGCCGGGCAUCUCACGGGGAUCGACGGCAGAAUGAAGGUCAGUCUGAAGGGCUUACCAGACAAGCCGAGAGGAGGUGCAUGGCCAUCGUCAGCUCGUACCGUGAGGCGUGCGCUUAAGUGCGUUAACGAGCGAGACCCACGCUCCAUGUUGCUACCUCGCGAGAGGGCACUCAUGGAGGACCGCUGCUGAUA
Molecule: ribosomal RNA, 566 nt
Filed under: uncultured archaeon
Lineage: Archaea
Description: bacterial SSU rRNA
Rfam family: Archaeal small subunit ribosomal RNA
Source: RNAcentral